This is an unclassified non-coding RNA of Homo sapiens (human), 304 nucleotides long. It matches the Rfam family "Metazoan signal recognition particle RNA". Rfam says of the family: The signal recognition particle (SRP) is a universally conserved ribonucleoprotein. It is involved in the co-translational targeting of proteins to membranes. The eukaryotic SRP consists of a 300-nucleotide 7S RNA and six proteins: SRPs 72, 68, 54, 19, 14, and 9. The record is from Ensembl. Lineage: Eukaryota; Metazoa; Chordata; Mammalia; Primates; Hominidae.
GCCGGGCGCGGUGGCUCAGGCCUGUAAUCCCAGCACUUUGGAAGGCUGAGGCGGGCGGAUCACGAGGUCAGGAGAUCGAGACCAUCCUGGCUAACAGGGUGAAACCCCGUCUCUACUAAAAAUACAAAAAUUUAGCCUGGCAUGGUAGCGGGCACCUGUAGUCCCAGCUACUCGGGAGGCUGAGGCAGGAGAAUGACGUGAACCGGUGAACCCAGCUAAUUUUUUGUAUUUUUAGUAGAGACGGGGUUUCACCGUGUUAGCCAGGAUGGUUUCGAUCUCCUGACCUCGUGAUCCACUCGCCUCG